Molecule: ribosomal RNA, 864 nt
Filed under: Agaricus spissicaulis
Lineage: Eukaryota; Fungi; Basidiomycota; Agaricomycetes; Agaricales; Agaricaceae
Description: eukaryotic LSU rRNA
Rfam family: Eukaryotic large subunit ribosomal RNA
Source: RNAcentral
AGGAAAAGAAACUAACAAGGAUUCCCCUAGUAACUGCGAGUGAAGCGGGAAAAGCUCAAAUUUAAAAUCUGGCGGUCUUUGGCCGUCCGAGUUGUAAUCUAGAGAAGUAAUGCCCGUGCUGGACCGUGUAUAAGUCUCCUGGGAUGGGGCGUCAUAGAGGGUGAGAAUCCCGUCUUUGACACGGACUACCAGUGCAUUGUGGUAUGCUCUCAAAGAGUCGAGUUGUUUGGGAAUGCAGCUCAAAAUGGGUGGUAAAUUCCAUCUAAAGCUAAAUAUUGGCGAGAGACCGAUAGCGAACAAGUACCGUGAGGGAAAGAUGAAAAGAACUUUGGAAAGAGAGUUAAACAGUACGUGAAAUUGCUGAAAGGGAAACGCUUGAANUCAGUCGCGUUGGCCAGGGAUCANCCUUGCUUUUGCAUGGUGUUCUUUCUGGUUGAACGGGGUCAGCAUCAAUUUUGAACGCUGGAAAAAGGGCUGGGGAAUGUGGCAGCUUCGGCUGUGUUAUANCCCCNGGUCCCAUACANUGGUUGGAAUUGAAGAACUCNCCCCNCCCCCAGGCCNGGUUUCCAACACNUUCGUGCUUANGANGCUGGCAUAAUGGCUUUAAGCNAACCCUCUUGAAACCCGGACCAAGGAGUCUAACAUGCCUGCGAGUAUUUGGGUGGAAAACCCGAGUGCGCAAUGAAAGUGAAAGUUGAGAUCCCUGUCGUGGGGAGCAUCGACGCCCGGACCAGAACUUUUGGGACGGAUCCGCGGUGGAGCAUGUAUGUUGGGACCCGAAAGAUGGUGAACUAUGCCUGAAUAGGGUGAAGCCAGAGGAAACUCUGGUGGAGGCUCGUAGCGAUUCUGACGUGCAAAUCGAUC